RNAcentral lists this long non-coding RNA (1076 nucleotides) under Homo sapiens (human). Its description in RNAcentral is "HSALNT0098321". Lineage: Eukaryota; Metazoa; Chordata; Mammalia; Primates; Hominidae. The record is from RNAcentral.
GUACCCUAAAACUUAAAGUAUAAUAAAAAAAAAAAGAAUGAAAUUAAGAUGAUUGGCUAAACCAGCGACUCCCAAAAUGUGGCCCCUGCAUCAGUAACAUCAGCACCACUUGGGAAUUAUUAGAAAUGCAAAUUAUUGAGCUUCAUCUCAGCCAAUAAAAUCAGAAACUCUGAGGGCGGGGCCCUGCAGUCUAUGGCUUAAUGGGCCCUCCAGGUGAUCCUGAUGCAACCAGAAGUUUAGAACCAGCCAAGUAGCUUAGAUUAAUAAACUUGCAUUUCUGGUGCUAUGGUUUGGAUGCAUGUCCCUCCAAAUCUUAUGCUGGAAUUUUAUCCCCAGUUUUGGAGAUGGGGCCUUGUGGAAGAUGUUUGGCUCAUAGGGAUGGAGCCCUCAUGAAUGUCUUGGUCUCAUCCUCAUGGUUAUGAGUGAAUUCUCAAUUCUCACUCUGUUAGUUCCCCCCAAGAGCUGAUUGUUUAAGAGACCUGACACCUUCCCAUUCUCUUUUGUUUCCUCUCUCACCAUGUGAUCAUUGCACACCUUGGCUCUCCUUCACCUUCCAACGUGAGUGAAAGCUUCCUGAAGCCCUCACCAGAAGCAGAUGCAGGAGCCAUGCUUCUUGUACAGCCUGCAGAACUGUGAGUCAAAUAAACCUCUUUUCUUUAUAAAUUACCCAGCCUCUUAGGUAUUACUUUAUAACAACACAAAUGAACUAAGACAUCUGAGCUGGAGAGGAUGGCAGCAUAGGAAGAACCUACUGGUUGCCUGUCCUGAAGGUGGCUACCUAUGCAUGAGAGAGGUGAACUGGAGAGAGCUGGUGGUAUGGAGAGGGGCCCAAGUGAAGCCCACACUCUCCCUGCUUGGCUGGACAAGAAUGAGUGUGUUCUUGGGUCAAGUGGACUCAUGAGAAUGCCUGGGCUGAAACCAUCUUGAAAGGACCCAUACUCAAAGGAAAGACAUUGGCCCCAUGUCCAAAGAUUAGCAACUACAUGUAUAUUGACAUGGUAUUAAAUAAAAUGAAAUGUUUAAGAUACAUUUGUAGGGCUGGGGUGCUGGCUCAUGCCUAUAAUCCCAGCAGUUUG